Cydia pomonella (codling moth) is the source of this 3762-nucleotide long non-coding RNA. RefSeq lists it as uncharacterized. The transcript is spliced from 3 exons. The record is from RefSeq and is a predicted model, not a curated record. NCBI's taxonomy places the organism in Eukaryota, Metazoa, Arthropoda, Insecta, Lepidoptera, Tortricidae.
AAGCUGAUGGUCCCGGGUUCAAAUCCUGGUAAGGGCAUUUAUUCGUGUGAUGAGCAUGGAUAUUUGUUCCUGAGUCAUGGCUGUUUUCUAUGUAUUUAAGUAUUUAUAAAUAUCCUCAACACAAGCCUUAUUGAGCUUACUGUGGGACUUAGUCAAUUUGUGUAAUAAUGUCCUAUAAUAUUUAUUUCUUUUUAUUUAUUUAUAUUUUAUCCCAGACUACGCAUUGCAAUGCUGACAAUCCCGUGUUAAAAAAUAUACGUGGAGGAUGGCUGGUAAAGAGUGAUUUAAGAUAAUAAGUCCACCUUUUGUACCUUAAGGAUUUCUUUAGUACAAUACAAAAUAAUCUUUAAAAAAAAAGUAAAACCGACUUCAAAGAGGACAAAAUAAAAUAUUAUUCCGUUUUAUAUGCGCUAGCAACUGAUACGUUUGAAGUCGGUUUUACGUUUUAUUAAGAGUAUUUUAUUUUUAAAUUUUUAGUUUUAAGUUUUUCUUAUGAGUGAAGCAUAAUUUUUUUUACAGUUUGGCCAGACUCGUUCGUAUAUGUCAUGUCACUAAACAUUUUUACGCUUCGGGUACGUAUCAAGUUUCAUGAUCUGGAUCUGAAGCUAUCAAGAUUUGAGGACUUGAACCUCAUGGAACCCAUCAUCAGAACUAGAUCUUAUACAAAUAUUCCUUCAGAAUGUACUUGCUUAACAAACAUAACAACGAGGACAAAUCGCCAAAAGUGAAAUAUGCGUUGUUAAAGAGUCCCGUUCUAGUCAUCAUCAGCAGUUCCCUUCAUCAAAUAGCACUGUUUUGGAUGAAAAUGCUUGGUUUGUUGAUGAAAAUACUAGAAUCGCUAAAUGUAUGCAUAUAGGAUAUGAGGAGACCCCUGGAUUCCUCAUGGAUCCCAUCAUCAGAAGUGGGUUUCGUCAAAAACGAGACAAACUUGGGGCUAUUACAUUCAAAUAACAAAAAAUCCAAAUCGGUUUAGUAAUUACAGAGUUCUGAAGUAACAAACAUAAAAAAAUACGGCCGAAUUGAGAUAACCUUCUGUUUUUUGAAGUCGGUUAAAAUUUUAAAUAAAUGAGAAAAUUAUAACAAUGAGUAGGUACAAUAAUCACGUGGCGCGCCAUGUGCUGCGUUGGCUCGAGGCUCUUCCGCCUUGGAAGGACACAAAAUGGUUGAAUUUGCAUACAACGCUGUGUGCUGGCUGCAAUCGUACGGAAGGGCUUAUAGUUCUUAAAGAUUAAAGACUGGAAUUACAGAUAAAACGGCUGUGCUGAUCAAUGCAGAACUAUGGUAGACAGCCUAGGCCACCACGUCCUUUCAUGCGGCCAGAAUGCUGGGAGGUUUCCUCGGCACGCCAGCAUCAAUGACGUCAUCCAAAGGGCCCUUGUCAUUGCCAAGGUGCCGGUGGUCCUCGAGCUCAACGGACUGGCCAGACGGAAUGACAUUGGUGCCUUGGAGUAUGGGUCGGCCUCCUGUCUGGGAUACUGCUGCUUUUUGCGUUGACACUGGAAACAUUGCAACACCCAUGGAAAUAUUGCAGGCCUAUUAUGAAUUAUCAUAUUGAUAUCCACGAUUAACCGAAUAAAAUUGGUAACGGUACAAGUGGGGACGCGAGGACUCCCGAAACACUGUAUUAUUAAAGACUGUUCCUGUACUUCUGCAUGUCAGGACUAACGAAUUAGAAACUCCUCAACAUGAUCACAACUUGAGGAGUGAGAGCUACCUCUUAAAUAAAUUUGUAUUAAUAUUUUCGAGAACAUUGAUUGAAACUACAAGUCAACCGUAUUCUUGGCUAUUUUACGUGUGUAUAUUUUCAGUUAUUGGUCAAUUAACAGUCUUUGCGAGUAAGUAAAAACCCAUAUCAUCUACCAUUUUGCUCUUGUAACAUAAUGUUUAAGAAACUUUCAUGUGGAACAAAAGGUCAAGAAAUCCAUGGCCUAAUAUUGGGUUUUGAUAAUUGUCCUAAAAUAAACGGAAUAAAUUUACAUUAAACGUUCUAAAUUAGAGCAUAAAUUAAUGUAAAUAAGUAAAUCUAAAUCAAUGUGUAAGCUAUUUAUAGAUGACGUGCUGUUUAUUUACUUUGAAGACCCAAAUACACCGAAUUACAGAACAAAUUAUGCGUGAGAAUGUUCAGUUUUGAUAUUGUUCAAUUAAAAUAUAUGACGUAAAGUACUCGUGUAGGAAUAAGUUCGGUAAAACUGAAGAUAAACCCAAUAAAAUGUUAUACAAUAACCGAUUGUAAUACCAGAUUUUUCAUCGGUUUGAUUUUGUCGAACAUACUUAUUAGCACACUUACUUAACUUACUUAAGUAAUUAUUGGGCAUUAUUUGGAAACGUAUUUACUUAUUAGUCCGCGUACUAGUAAGUGUGCAGGAGCAUUCACAGAAUUUGGUUGGAAUUAGAUUGAAAUAAGAUUUUAGGUACAGAAAGAAUUAAACGGUAGGAAAUCUAGGCUAGUUUACUUUCUCUUCUCUUCUUGGCUUUAUAGCCCAGUUGCUUCCUCAACUUGAGGUUUGGACAUUUGGGGCUAACAUUUUUAAUUUUUAGAAAGUGUCACUUCUGUGUUCAAUACAAUAAAAGUGAACGACUAGGGUGACUAUAUAUUUUCGUAUUUUAUUCUAAAGUACUGCAACAAUGUAGGUACCCCGCCUGUAAAGGGGCAGUGUAUAAAUGAAAUCAAGAACCUUUAAUUUACAAUGUUUAUAGGAAAGACGCGAGCGGGUUAAGCAUAAAUACUAUAAAAUGUGUAUUAUUAAUAAUCUCCACCACUGCACUGAGUUACUCUGAAAAUUCCUCAUUAUUAUUUUAAUCCUCAUUAAUUUGUGAACAAGGAACGCGUACAUUUAGGUAACACGUGAUCCUAUACGAGGUGGGUAAGUACGUAUGUAUUUUGGGAAGUAAUCAGAGACAGCACAUGCGCGCACGCAUGCCGCGCAACGUGAUUGUGAGUUAAAGCGAUGACUCGUCGCGAAAAGUAAAUAAAUUCAAUCUCAACUUCACUAAACCCUACUCACCAAUAAUCGCUUAAGUUAAUAUUUUAUCUGAGUGUGCAAUAUUUUAUGUUUUCACUUGAUAACGAUUGGUAAAAAAAAAAACAUGAUAGAGUCAGACCAAGUUACGUUGGCAGCGAUUUUGAUAGCCCAGACGGUACGAGUGUUGAGUAAACGUCAUAAAUUCAAAGUUUGGCGUUUGAAAUAACAUUUGCACCGUCUGGGCUAUCAAAAUCACUGCGAACUUAUCUUGGUCUGACUACUAAUAUGCAUACAUAUUUACAUAAUUUUCUACAACGAGGCUCACAGAAAAUAUCUAUCUAUAUAGGUAAAAAUAAUUAAUGACUGCAAACUGAACAUGUUUAGAAGCAAACCGUAGUUUAGUACUAGUAGUAUGCAAUCUGCUUACAUCACACACAUAUUUAAGAAGUUUGAUACCGUAAGUUGAUUUAUUUAGCAGUUCCAUUACAUUUGCUCCCAAUAUGCUGUAAAGGUUAUACCCAUCCCUACUGUUUCCUUAUUAGGCCUAACCCUGCAAUUUGACCUCAGAUAACCUUUCAACGUGAGACCUAGAUCUAGUUCGAUUUAUAUGAAAAAGUCGUAUAUAUAACGUGAUCCAGGCCUCCCAGUCGCAUUCAUCUUCCAGCCUGCACAAAGGAUGUCUGAGGUUGCAUGCACGUGAGAGUUUAUGGAAAUAUAACAAAGCCAAUAAAAAGACAUUUGUUAUAAACAUAAUAUUUGCAAGAAUAUCCAAGGAAAUAAAAGGGGUUAUGUUCAAUGU